GGAGUAGAAGUCGUAACAAGGUUUCCGUAGGUGAACCUGCGGAAGGAUCAUUAUUGUAUAACCGAGGUGCGAGGGCUGUCGCUGACCCGAAAGGUCGUGCACGCCCGAGUGCCCUCACACACAUCCAUCUCACCCCUAUGUGCACCACCGCGUGGGUCCCCCUUUGGCUUGUUCGGAGGGGGGCUUACGUUUUCACACAAACUUUGUAUGCAGUGUAGAAUGUAUUUUUUGUUUUUGCGAUCACGCAAUCAAUACAACUUUCAACAACGGAUCUCUUGGCUCUC
Molecule: unclassified non-coding RNA, 284 nt
Filed under: plant metagenome
Description: partial contains small subunit ribosomal RNA, internal transcribed spacer 1, and 5.8S ribosomal RNA
Rfam family: Eukaryotic small subunit ribosomal RNA (bases 1-53)
Source: RNAcentral